GACGAACGCUGGCGGCGUGCCUAAUACAUGCAAGUGGAACGCAUUUUGAUCACCGUAGCUUGCUACACCGAUUAAAAUGAGUCGCGAACGGGUGAGUAACGCGUAGGUAACCUACCUCAUAGCGGGGGACAACUAUUGGAAACGAUAGCUAAUACCGCAUAAGACAUUUUAUCGCAUGAUAGGAUGUUAAAAGAUGCAACUGCAUCACUAUGAGAUGGACCUGCGUUGUAUUAGCUAGUUGGUGAGGUAACGGCUCACCAAGGCUGCGAUACAUAGCCGACCUGAGAGGGUGAUCGGCCACACUGGGACUGAGACACGGCCCAGACUCCUACGGGAGGCAGCAGUAGGGAAUCUUCGGCAAUGGGGGCAACCCUGACCGAGCAACGCCGCGUGAGUGAAGAAGGUUUUCGGAUUGUAAAACUCUGUUGUAAGCGAAGAACAGUGAUAGGAGUGGAAAAUCUAUCACAUGACGGUAGCUUACCAGAAAGGGACGGCUAACUACGUGCCAGCAGCCGCGGUAAUACGUAGGUCUCGAGCGUUGUCCGGAUUUAUUGGGCGUAAAGCGAGCGCAGGCGGUUAGAUAAGUCAGAAGUUAAAGGCUGUGGCUCAACCAUAGUACGCUUUUGAAACUGUUUAACUUGAGUGCAGAAGGGGAGAGUGGAAUUCCAUGUGUAGCGGUGAAAUGCGUAGAUAUAUGGAGGAACACCGGUGGCGAAAGCGGCUCUCUGGUCUGUCACUGACGCUGAGGCUCGAAAGCGUGGGUAGCGAACAGGAUUAGAUACCCUGGUAGUCCACGCCGUAAACGAUGAGUGCUAGGUGUUAGGCCCUUUCCGGGGCUUAGUGCCGCAGCUAACGCAUUAAGCACUCCGCCUGGGGAGUACGACCGCAAGGUUGAAACUCAAAGGAAUUGACGGGGGCCCGCACAAGCGGUGGAGCAUGUGGUUUAAUUCGAAGCAACGCGAAGAACCUUACCAGGUCUUGACAUCCCUCUGACCGGUCUAGAGAUAGACUUUCCCUUCGGGGCAGAGGUGACAGGUGGUGCAUGGUUGUCGUCAGCUCGUGUCGUGAGAUGUUGGGUUAAGUCCCGCAACGAGCGCAACCCUUAUUGUUAGUUGCCAUCAUUUAGUUGGGCACUCUAGCGAGACUGCCGGUAAUAAACCGGAGGAAGGUGGGGAUGACGUCAAAUCAUCAUGCCCCUUAUGACCUGGGCUACACACGUGCUACAAUGGUUGGUACAACGAGUCGCAAGCCGGUGACGGCAAGCUAAUCUCUUAAAGCCAAUCUCAGUUCGGAUUGUAGGCUGCAACUCGCCUACAUGAAGUCGGAAUCGCUAGUAAUCGCGGAUCAGCACGCCGCGGUGAAUACGUUCCCGGGCCC
This 1377-nucleotide ribosomal RNA is filed under the name uncultured bacterium. RNAcentral's name for it is "partial 16S ribosomal RNA". It matches the Rfam family "Bacterial small subunit ribosomal RNA", at positions 28 to 1381 of the family's 1533-position model. The record is from RNAcentral.